RNAcentral lists this ribosomal RNA (301 nucleotides) under uncultured bacterium. RNAcentral describes it as "partial 16S ribosomal RNA". It matches the Rfam family "Bacterial small subunit ribosomal RNA", at positions 509 to 807 of the family's 1533-position model. The record is from RNAcentral.
CAGUAGCCGCGGUAAAACGUAGGGUGCAAGCGUUAAUCGGAAUUACUGGGCGUAAAGCGCACGUAGGCGGCUUUGUAAGUUAGAGGUGAAAGCCUGGAGCUCAACUCCAGAAUUGCCUUUAAGACUGCAUCGCUUGAAUCGCGGAGAGGUGAGUGGAAUUCCGAGUGUAGAGGUGAAAUUCGUAGAUAUUCGGAAGAACACCAGUGGCGAAGGCGGCUCACUGGACGCGUAUUGACGCUGAGGUGCGAAAGCGUGGGGAGCAAACAGGAUUAGAUACCCCCGUAGUCCCUGUCUCUUAUAC